UCUGGGCUGUGGCGGUGGCAGCGGGCAGCGGAGGUGCCGCUGCGCUUCGGGCGUGCCGGCAGCGCUGGCAGGGCUGUCUGUCCCGCAGGGACCGGGGCCAGGAGGAGCUGUGACCCACAGAACUGGCGCCUCCAAGCCCUGGUCGGGAUCCGUGGGCUGGGCAGCAGCACCCCGGGGCAGCCCCACAACAGACGGGGCUCCAGAAGGUGUGAAGGGUAGUUGCGUGAUGUGAGCCCUCCGUGCUCAUCCCUCACCUUCCAGGGCUCCCAGCUGGGUUCUGGCCCUGGCCCCGGCCUGGCCUGGAGGGAAAAGUCCCUUCCUGCUGCCACAGUGGGCGAGCAGGCUGCUGACUGCUGCAGGGGAGAAAAGGCUGAAGCUGCCAGAAAAAAACUGUAAGGAGUAUGUUGCCAGGGCAACAGAGUGUAAGCAGGAGCACAGCACCUUGCAGAUCACAAAGGCAAAGCUGCAGAAAGACAUUUCAGCGAGUUUCUCUCUCCCCUUUGCAAUGGCCAGGCUGAAGAAGGAAGUAUGUGGAAAUCAAUCCUUGCAGGCCACAGAAUGGGAGGUGGGGGAAGUGAAAUGAAGUACAAAAGCCCUGGGUCAUCUCACUUCGGCUGAGGAAUUCCAGGAAAUCAGGAACAAAGGCUGACACCCGAGCUCAGCUGUGCUCUGGCACUGCAUGUGACAAGUCUCGCUGGCACCUGGAAACAGCAGAAUGUGUGGGUUUGGUGGGCUGAGAGACUCAGGAAAAGGACACGGUGAUGGGGGUUUGCAGCCUCAGCUGAGAAUGUCACAGUUUUGUAGUGUGGAUACAGGCUCACAGAUGUUACUGACAUGGAACUUUGCUUUAGGAGAUUUAUGUGUUCUGCAUUUUGAGAAAGAAUUACACGAAGUAAUAGUUAACAAUAUAUGUAAAAUAAUACAUUUAAUGAAUAUAAAAAUAGUAUUUAGCCAAGCAGUAUUCUCCAUACAGGAUUACAUUGUGGCAAACACUACUGGUUUUCUCUGAGUCAGCAUCCCCCAGUCACUGUGAAUGUGAGAUAUUCCUUGCACCAGGGUUUUAGAGAGCAGUAAAAACUGCCCUGAAGCACAUUGCAGAAAUGUCUAGAAGCCACCUCCAGGAGUGGGAGGUGGCUCUGCAGAGAGCAGACGGGGACAGUUGCGUGCAAGAGAGGGGAAAGGUUUGUUUGGAGGCUUGGGCAGGAGGCCCAUAACUCACGGCGUCCCUGUGUCACCAGCUCCGGAAUGUUCCCAGGCAUGUGGAAGCAUUAACAGUAACGCAGUGCUUGGAGUCUCACUGCCACUAAUGACUAAUCACGGCACAGACCAAAACUGCAGUUCUGAAGCCCAGUUAAAAUUCUGUUGUUUUCUCAAAAACCAGAUGAGCAUUUGGACCUGAGACAUCCAAAUUCAGGGCGUGAACUGUUCCUGGCUGCAGGAACAAGAGUGUAUGCUUCUGUGCACAGAGAGGUGAGCAAUUAAUGCUGUAUUGAUGUGUUCAGUUUAUUAAUAUUUGUUUAUAAACCAAGUCUAAGGACACUGUACCCUCACUAGCAACUUCAGCUUGGUUUUUAUAAUACUUGCACUGCUAAUCCUAAACAGUAGAGGAUCAGAUAAUCCUAUGGUAUAAAAAUUACUCAAGAUAAGUUUCUGCAAUAGAAUAAUGUACAUUUAAUACAUACAAUAUAGAAAGCAAUAAAAUGCCUUUUAUAUAAUGUUAUUUAUGCAAGUAUAUAGAAUUACUCAUCUGAAUGUGUAUGUAGAUUGAGGAGUUUAGGAACAAAGACAAUUCUUUAAUGUUGUCAUAAAAAGGAAAAAUAAAACCUCUUUUUUCUGAGUAAACAUAUCCCAGGUUUCACCUUCCUGCUAUUAAAUUAAUUAAUCGCAAUGAUGUAACAACUACAUAAGGUUUUAUCUGAUUAGAAAAUUCAGCAGUGCCUGAUGCUGAAUUGUCCUAUUGUUCCUAAUCUGGAGAUAUGCAGGAUUUUCUACAGCCAUUGUAAUACUUGUCCCCUUUUUUUUUUUUCUCAUGGACAGGUCUGAUUACUAUUACCUAGGCUAUAUUUCCUUUAGGAGGAAAAAGGCUUUUCAUAAAGCAUAAAAAGCUUAAUUGUGUACAAAACUAUUUUUACUGGCUAUAAAAGCAUAUGAGCAUCCUUCAAGUUGUGCUCCUAAAGCUUUUUUGUGGCAUGUGGGGUCAGGAGAGGGAAUGAACAGAAAAGUUUGAAUGCAAGAUUCCAAUGCAGUUUGUCUUUUUUUCCCACAAACUUGGAAUCUUCAUGUUAGAAUUUGAAAUUUUUUAAAUAUAAAAAUAAUAUUUCUUUGAGUUCUCAUAUACAACAAAUAUUUGGAAAUUGAUUUAUUCAGAAAAGGCUCUUUUAUUUCUCUGGGUGUAUCUAGAGAACCUAUGGAGUAAAUCAGUUCUCUGCUGCUACCUUUAUGUUGACAGAAAAGCCAGGAAUGAGUGAGCAGCCUGUUGCUUUGACAGUGUUAGAGGAAAGAUCUCCCCUUUCCUGUGUCCUCAGAGAGCUGGUAACAAGGUCACACUGAUCUGAGGAAAGCCAAGUAACUUCUGGAAAUCCCAAAUCGGGUCAACAAUACAAGAUCUGUCCACCAUUCAGAUUUAAAUGAAGUCACAUUCCACACCACUUUCACUGAUGUUUAAGACUUUUUUUAUUAUUAUUUGGUAUUGGCUGGUUUCUGUGAAAUCCAUCAGCUCUGCUCCUAUAGGCUCUAGCCAAGGAAAUCUAGACAGUUUUUGUCAUCUCUGCAGCAUUCAUUUCAUAAAAAUGCUGCACAUUGAUUCAGUUAAAAUAUGUAGGUAGAAGAUCUCCUAAAAGCAAUUUUCCAUGGAGCCUGCAGGAAGGCAGCUGACUGCAACCAGACUGGGCCACACAAAAAGAAAGGUAGAACAAGGUGAGUUGCAGACUGCCAGAUACUGGACAAUAUUUCUGUAUUUUUGGGAGACUACAUUUUUAGCUCCUUAUAGCCAGUGCUGGAUGAGAGACUGUUUGCUGGAGGUCCCGCUACAAUUUUUAGAUCUCUUUUUUCUAUUUUAAUAAUAAUAACCUCUAAAAUAUAGAAAAUUAAAAGGAUUUUUAUUGGUUCUUUGUAAGACUCGAUGGGGAAGCCCAAAGUUGAAACAAGGUGAAAGAACCUGUACUUGCUGCAGGUGGAAGCAGGUUUAUUGCCAUCAUUAUAUUGAAAAGGUUUGUCUUUGUACAGAUUUUCCUAUUUUCCUUAGGAAAGAUGGGAUAAAAUUUUGGUGAGAAAUUGAAUCCCAGCAGCUUAAAUACCCACGUAUUUCUAGCACAAAAUCUGGGCAAUUUGCUUUCCUUUUCCUGCUGGCUUGUAUCCUGCUGCCUUUUGAAAUGGAAACUCUUGUGACCCUCUAACCCUCUUGUUACUCAGAAUAAAACUCUUUUAAUUGUGUUUUGGAGGAGCAUGCAAGGAGCUCCCACACCACUAAUCAGCUUUGCUGGUUUGGGUCUGUAUCUCCAGGACUCAUGUCAGCAGAAUAGCUUGAUAUUAUUGCUGCUCGGCAUCACUGAUUUAAUGCUGAAGAACUUUAAAGGUGCAGGUCCCCAUUUCUGUCUGUGUGUUCCUACAGAGUGAGAGCAGCUCUCUGGCAGUACCUGGGAUCCUGCAGGACUUGGGCAGGCCCUGCUGCUCUUUGGGGUGCCUAAAAGGUGUCAGAAAAGGUGACUGCCUGCUGGGCAGGGCUGCUUGUGGGCACAGCAUUAACACUGAGACAGUUUUGGAAGGGACCUUACCUGUUUGUUUGCAAUGUCUCAUGUGGAAAUGCAGGUCAGCUUUAGUGCCUCUUCACACAAUUAAAAACAGAAAACCCCAAGACUCUUCUAGCUAGAGUCUGUGCUUUGUACUGGCCAGAAGCAGGUCUGGAUGGAUUUAAAUCAGACCUGUCUUAAGCUAUUUGAAAUCACCUGCAGCUUUGGUUUGAAGGAUGAAACUGCUGCCUUCCAGUGCUAGAACUUCAGCCCUGGAUGGUACCUCCAUCCAGGUGGAAGUUUGUCAGUAUAAAAUCCUGCCCUGCUGUAGCUCCCCCUUGGGCAGACUCUCACCCAUUUUAGGGCUGUUCCUUACAUCACUUGCCUUCUCACCAUACUCAGAAAACAUAAAGACUGCUUUAGCUUUUCACAUUUCAGUAUAACUGUGUUUAGCACCGAGGUUUGCCCCAGCCGCUGCCCAUUUGCUGACGUUUGUUCAUAGCUCUGCUAACGUGCCUCUGUUUGGCCUUCAGCAUUCCAGGAGUAGGAAGGCCACUUAACCCGAGUCCUAGCUCUCUGAUCCUGUUUGAUCAGGAACAGUGAUGCAGGAGUUACCCUUGAACAAAUGACUCUGCUGAGAACACUCCCAAUUGCCCUGUAAUAAACCUGCUGUCCUCCCUGAAAGCCAGGAUGAGGAUAGAGAGGGUAACAGUGAUUGAAAGGUCAACAAGUGUGAGCACUGACAGAAUGAAAGAAACAAAUUAUAAUGCUGAGGCCAUGAUGCUGAGAGCGCCCUGUGUCUAAAUUCUGGCGUGGUUGGAGGCUGGGUGUGUCAGCACGAGUGCCACCCUGUCCUGGUCCCACAGGAGAGAAUGCAGGAUCUCAGGAUCUCUCCCUUUGUCCUCUCUGUGGCUGCGUGCUCACAGGCUUAACUUCAGUGCUGGAGAAGAUCACUCAUGGAAAGAGAUCAGAAGUCACCAAGUGCCACAGUGCUAGGCUCCCUGUGUGAGAAGGAGCUCUGUGCUGAGUCUUCCAGCCUCCAGCCUCCCCGUCUGGGCCAAACACACCUGGGCAGAUCCUGUCAGUCCUGGUGGGAAGUGUUCACCUGGCUAUGCUGGGCUUGAGUCAGAAUUUGUCUCUUAAUAAGACGCAAGGAGAAACUUUUCAGUGUGUUCUCAUUAAGGUAGGAAAAUGGAAACAUAUUACAACUGAUAUGUUCUGUCAUCUUGUCCAUUUGUUCCAAAAGGGACAGUCCUGGUGAGGUGGCUCUGGGCCUCGCCCCACUGACACAAAGCUGGGAGAAGCUAGCCAAGAAGCCAGUUCUACAAGUCCUGUUUGAUUUGUUUUAAUGAAAACUUUUAUUUGCUGGGGUAAAAAUAAGUUUUAAGGAGCUUUUUUCAUCCUACAAUUCUGCUGACCCUAUGCUCUUUUGUGUGUUUGUCUUUUGGAUUUGAAACCAUUCAAAUUAUGAUACUUUGAGUUCUGGGUUGUUUGGUUUUUUUUCUGUUGUAAACCAGUAAAGCCAUGUGUUCAUAC
This 5264-nucleotide long non-coding RNA is filed under the name Taeniopygia guttata (zebra finch). RNAcentral describes it as "lncRNA (ENSTGUG00000029597.1)". Lineage: Eukaryota; Metazoa; Chordata; Aves; Passeriformes; Estrildidae. The record is from RNAcentral.